Molecule: ribosomal RNA, 466 nt
Filed under: uncultured bacterium
Lineage: Bacteria
Description: bacterial SSU rRNA
Rfam family: Bacterial small subunit ribosomal RNA
Source: RNAcentral
UGCCAGACUCCUACGGGAGGCAGCAGUGAGGAAUAUUGGUCAAUGGGCGAGAGCCUGAACCAGCCAAGUCGCGUGAGGGAAGACGGUCCUAUGGAUUGUAAACCUCUUUUGUCGGGGAGCAAAAAGGCCUCGUGAGGCCACAAGUGAGAGUACCCGAAGAAAAAGCAUCGGCUAACUCCGUGCCAGCAGCCGCGGUAAUACGGAGGAUGCGAGCGUUAUCCGGAUUUAUUGGGUUUAAAGGGUGCGUAGGCGGACGCUUAAGUCAGCGGUAAAAUUGCGGGGCUCAACCUCGGCGAGCCGUUGAAACUGGGUGCCUUGAGUGGACGAGAAGUACGCGGAAUGCGUGGUGUAGCGGUGAAAUGCAUAGAUAUCACGCAGAACUCCGAUUGCGAAGGCAGCGUACCGGCGCCCAACUGACGCUGAGGCACGAAGGCGUGGGUAUCGAACAGGAUUAGAUACCCCAGUA